AAAAGGAGGAAUGUCAUCCCCCAUGAUAUUGGGGACCCAGAUGAUGAACCAUGGCUCCGCGUCAAUGCAUAUUUAAUCCACGAUACUGCUGAUUGGAAGGACCUGAACCUGAAGUUUGUGCUGCAGGUUUAUCGGGACUAUUACCUCACGGGUGAUCAAAACUUCCUGAAGGACAUGUGGCCUGUGUGUCUAGCUGUGAUGGAAUCUGAAAUGAAGUUUGACAAGGACCAUGAUGGACUCAUUGAAAAUGGAGGCUAUGCAGACCAGACCUAUGAUGGAUGGGUGACCACAGGCCCCAGGUUAGCGGGUAGGGGUUUCCAGGAGGCCUGAGGUAGGAAACUGGGCAACAAGGGAUUGUAGGGCUCAAGAAAGAAUGACUCAUUGCCUAUUACACUGCAUGGGAGCAGCUGGAGCUGCCAGUCUGACCCCCAAACCCAUGUCCCUGAUCAGUGCUUACUGUGGAGGGCUGUGGCUGGCAGCUGUGGCUGUGAUGGUCCAGAUGGCUGCUCUGUGUGGGGCACAGGACAUCCAGGAUAAGUUUUCUUCCAUCCUCAGCCGGGGCCAAGAAGCCUAUGAGAGACUGCUGUGGAAUGGUGAGUUCGGGGAGCCUAAGUAGUCUUAAGGCAGCUGAGAGGACACCAGGAGCCUUAUUUUUCUCUUCCUCAACUCCAGGCCGCUAUUACAACUAUGACAGCAGCUCUCGGCCUCAGUCUCGUAGUGUUAUGUCUGACCAGUGUGCUGGACAGUGGUUCCUGAAGGCCUGUGGCCUAGG
RNAcentral lists this small RNA (772 nucleotides) under Pan troglodytes (chimpanzee). Its description in RNAcentral is "processed transcript". The record is from RNAcentral. Lineage: Eukaryota; Metazoa; Chordata; Mammalia; Primates; Hominidae.